AACGGAAAGGCCCUGCUUGCAGGGUACUCGAGUGGCGAACGGGUGAGUAACACGUGGGUGAUCUGCCCUGCACUUCGGGAUAAGCUUGGGAAACUGGGUCUAAUACCGGAUAGGAGCCAUCUUUAGUGUGGUGGUUGGAAAGUUUUUUCGGUGUAGGAUGAGCUCGCGGCCUAUCAGCUUGUUGGUGGGGUAAUGGCCUACCAAGGCGGCGACGGGUAGCCGGCCUGAGAGGGUGUACGGCCACAUUGGGACUGAGAUACGGCCCAGACUCCUACGGGAGGCAGCAGUGGGGAAUAUUGCACAAUGGGCGCAAGCCUGAUGCAGCGACGCCGCGUGGGGGAUGAAGGCCUUCGGGUUGUAAACUCCUUUCGCUAGGGACGAAGCUCUUUUGUGACGGUACCUAGAUAAGAAGCACCGGCUAACUACGUGCCAGCAGCCGCGGUAAUACGUAGGGUGCGAGCGUUGUCCGGAAUUACUGGGCGUAAAGGGCUCGUAGGUGGUUUGUCGCGUCGUCUGUGAAAUUCUGGGGCUUAACUCCGGGCGUGCAGGCGAUACGGGCAUAACUUGAGUGCUGUAGGGGUAACUGGAAUUCCUGGUGUAGCGGUGAAAUGCGCAGAUAUCAGGAGGAACACCGAUGGCGAAGGCAGGUUACUGGGCAGUUACUGACGCUGAGGAGCGAAAGCAUGGGUAGCGAACAGGAUUAGAUACCCUGGU
This 714-nucleotide ribosomal RNA is filed under the name uncultured Corynebacterium sp. Its description in RNAcentral is "bacterial SSU rRNA". It matches the Rfam family "Bacterial small subunit ribosomal RNA", at positions 65 to 791 of the family's 1533-position model. Lineage: Bacteria; Bacillati; Actinomycetota; Actinomycetes; Mycobacteriales; Corynebacteriaceae. The record is from RNAcentral.